AUUAAACGCUGGCGGCAUGCCUUACACAUGCAAGUCGAACGGCAGCACGGGGGCAACCCUGGUGGCGAGCGGCGAACGGGUGAGUAAAGCAUCGGAACGUGCCCUGGAGUGGGGGGAUAACGUAGCGAAAGUUACGCUAAUACCGCAUAUUCUGUGAGCAGGAAAGCAGGGGAUCGCAAGACCUUGCGCUCUGGGAGCGGCCGAUGUCGGAUUAGCUAGUUGGUGGGGUAAAGGCCUACCAAGGCGACGAUCCGUAGCGGGUCUGAGAGGAUGAUCCGCCACACUGGGACUGAGACACGGCCCAGACUCCUACGGGAGGCAGCAGUGGGGAAUUUUGGACAAUGGGCGAAAGCCUGAUCCAGCCAUGCCGCGUGAGUGAAGAAGGCCUCGGUU
RNAcentral lists this ribosomal RNA (393 nucleotides) under uncultured bacterium. Its description in RNAcentral is "bacterial SSU rRNA". It matches the Rfam family "Bacterial small subunit ribosomal RNA", at positions 29 to 424 of the family's 1533-position model. The record is from RNAcentral.